This 305-nucleotide ribosomal RNA is filed under the name uncultured bacterium. Its description in RNAcentral is "bacterial SSU rRNA". It matches the Rfam family "Bacterial small subunit ribosomal RNA", at positions 338 to 660 of the family's 1533-position model. The record is from RNAcentral.
CCUACGGGGGGCAGCAGUGAGGAAUAUUGGGCAAUGGGGGCAACCCUGACCCAGCCAUGCCGCGUGAGUGAAGAAGGUCUUCGGAUUGUAAAGCUCUUUCGGACGUGACGAUGAUGACGGUAGCGUCUAAAGAAGCACCGGCAAACUUCGUGCCAGCAGCCGCGGUAAUACGAAGGGUGCGAGCGUUGUUCGGAAUUACUGGGCGUAAAGGGAGUGUAGGCGGAUAUGUAAGAUAGCGGUGAAAUGCCGGGGCUCAACCCCGGAACUGCCAUUAUGACUAUGUAUCUAGAGUAAUGGAGAGGAUA